RNAcentral lists this ribosomal RNA (479 nucleotides) under Blastocystis sp. RNAcentral's name for it is "SSU rRNA". It matches the Rfam family "Eukaryotic small subunit ribosomal RNA", at positions 460 to 952 of the family's 1831-position model. Lineage: Eukaryota; Bigyra; Opalinata; Blastocystidae. The record is from RNAcentral.
GGAGGUAGUGACAAUAAAUCACAAUGCGGGACUAUCAGUCUUGCAAUUGGAUUGAGAACAAUGUACAACUCUUAUCGAUAAGCCAUUGGAGGGCAAGUCUGGUGCCAGCAGCCGCGGUAAUUCCAGCUCCAAUAGCGUAUAUUAACGUUGUUGCAGUUAAAAAGCUCGUAGUUGAAGUGUGGGUGAUCGCUGUUGUGAGACUUCGGUCUCUCGACAGUAAGUCACCCCCUUCCAGUAUCCAGUAGUGGGUAUUCACUUACUUACUACUGUGUGUUGGUCCUUUACUGUGAGAAAAUUAGAGUGUUCAAAGCAGGCGUUUGCUUGAAUAGAUUAGCAUGGAAUAAUAAUUGAAGGCUUUCGUGUUCGAUUUGAUUGGUUUGUUCAUGGAAGCAAGGUUAAAAGGAACAGUUGGGGGUAUUCAUAUUCACUAGUUAGAGGUGAAAUUCUCGGAUUUAUGGAAGAUGAACAAGUGCGAAAGC